CUACACUAAUCUUAACACUCUUUCCCUACACGACGCUCUUCCGAUCUAAAACAACUUUCACGACUUUAAUAGCUAACGAUGAAUGUAUCAAUGCUGUUAAUGUACCCGUAAAUACUACUACAACUUGUUCUUUAGUUACACCGGGAAGUGUUUUAGGGGCAACCGCUUCUACCCAAGCCAAUACUUGUGGCGGAACAGACGACGAUGAUGUUUGGUUUAAAUUUACUGCUACCAGCUCACUUCAUACUAUUUCAUUACUCAAUAUUACAGGAAGUACAAUCGACUUAUAUCAUGUGCUAUACAGUGGUAGUUGUGGUACAUUAACUCAAUUGUAUUGUAGUGAUAAUGAAAACAGUACCGCCAGUAAUCUAACCAUUGGACAAGUUUACUACAUUAGAGUAUACACAUACAGUGGAACAGGUAAUCAAACCACAACUUUUAGUGUUUGCAUCGGAACACCAAUUCCGCCACCAAACUGUAUCAACAACCAACCGGCAGGAAACACUUGUCAAACUGCCACGCCGAUUUGUAACCUAUCGUGACUGGGAAACAGCUCCAUCGUCGAGAGGGCAACAGUCCAGAUCGCCGGCUAAGGUGCCUAAACGUCGUUAAGUGGAAAGGAUGUGAAGUUACUUAGACAGUGAGGAUGUUGGCUUAGAGGCAGCCAUCAUUUAAACAGUGCGUAAUAGCUGACUCAUCGAGUGAUUUCGCGCCGAAAAUGAUUGGCGAUAAAUAACGUACCGAAGCCGCGGAUAGCAAGUUGGUUCGCCAGCUUGUUGUGGUAGGAGAGCGUGAACGGUGCAGUGAAGCAGAACCGAAAGGGGACGUGGAGCGCCGUUCAGUGAGAAUGCAGACACGAGUAGCGAUAAACCAGAUGAGAAUUCUGGUCGCCGUAAACCCAAGGUUUCCUGGGCCAGGUUCGUCCUCCCAGGGUCAGUCGGGAGCUAAGAUGAGGUCGUAAGACGUAAUCGAUGCACAGCUGGUCAACAUUCCAGCACCGAUGUGGUUCAAACCGUCAGUGACGCAAGGAGAAAAGUGGCAGGGUCAUUGAAAGACCCAGCUUAGGAGCAAUCCGAAGCAAGUCACCGGACAACUUGUCUAGAAAAGCUGGCGGCCCUUUACCACAUUGCCCGUACCGCAAACCGACACAGGUGGGUGGGUGUAAAUGCACCAAGGCGCGCGAGAGAGACCUCUCUAAGGAACUCGGCACAUUAGCCCCGUAACUUCGGGAAAAGGGGUGCUCGCUUCGGCGAGCCACAGUAAAUUGCGUUUAGCGACUGUUUAACAAAAACACAGCACUCUGCCACGUCGUUAAGACAACGUAUAGGGUGUGACAAGUGACCAAUGCGGAAAGAUCAAGGCAAGUUGUUAGCCGCAAGGCGAAGCUCCGAACCUAAGUCCCCGUGAAUGUCGGCCGUAACUAUAACGGUCCUAAGGUAGCGAAAUUCCUUGUCGGGUAAGUUCCGACCUGCACGAAUCUUGUAACGACUGAACGACUGUCUCGGAGAGGAACUCGGCGAAACUGUAACUGCGGUGAAGAUGCCGCAUGCCCGCAGUAGGACGGAAAGACCCUAUGCACCUUUACUGUAAGCUCGUAUUGGCUUCUGAUUGAUGAUGCUUAGCGUAGGUGGGAAAU
This 1636-nucleotide ribosomal RNA is filed under the name freshwater metagenome. RNAcentral describes it as "bacterial LSU rRNA". The stretch from base 370 to 1636 matches the Rfam family "Bacterial large subunit ribosomal RNA", at positions 1 to 2155 of the family's 2925-position model. The record is from RNAcentral.